RNAcentral lists this ribosomal RNA (395 nucleotides) under uncultured bacterium. RNAcentral describes it as "partial 16S ribosomal RNA". It matches the Rfam family "Bacterial small subunit ribosomal RNA", at positions 523 to 916 of the family's 1533-position model. The record is from RNAcentral.
AUACGUAGGGGGCGAGCGUUGUCCGGAAUGAUUGGGCGUAAAGGGCGCGUAGGCGGCCCGGUAAGUCUGGAGUGAAAGUCCUGUUUUUAAGAUGGGAAUUGCUUUGGAUACUGUCGGGCUUGAGUGCAGGAGAGGUAAGUGGGAUUCCCAGUGUAGCGGUGAAAUGCGUAGAGAUUGGGAGGAACACCAGUGGCGAAGGCGACUUACUGGACUGUAACUGACGCUGAGGCGCGAAAGUGUGGGGAGCAAACAGGAUUAGAUACCCUGGUAGUCCACACUGUAAACGAUGAAUGCUAGGUGUAGGGGGUAUCGACCCCUUCUGUGCCGCAGUCAACACAAUAAGCAUUCCGCCUGGGGAGUACGGCCGCAAGGUUGAAACUCAAAGGAAUUGACGG